AGUGAACGCUGGCGGUAGGCCUAACACAUGCAAGUCGAACGGCAGCACAGUAAGAGCUUGCUCUUACGGGUGGCGAGUGGCGGACGGGUGAGGAAUACAUCGGAAUCUACUUUUUCGUGGGGGAUAACGUAGGGAAACUUACGCUAAUACCGCAUACGACCUACGGGUGAAAGCAGGGGAUCUUCGGACCUUGCGCGAUUGAAUGAGCCGAUGUCGGAUUAGCUAGUUGGCGGGGUAAAGGCCCACCAAGGCGACGAUCCGUAGCUGGUCUGAGAGGAUGAUCAGCCACACUGGAACUGAGACACGGUCCAGACUCCUACGGGAGGCAGCAGUGGGGAAUAUUGGACAAUGGGCGCAAGCCUGAUCCAGCCAUACCGCGUGGGUGAAGAAGGCCUUCGGGUUGUAACGCCCUUUUGUUGGGAAAGAAAAGCAGCAGGUUAAUACCCCGCUGUUCUGACGGUACCCAAAGAAUAAGCACCGGCUAACUUCGUG
This 492-nucleotide ribosomal RNA is filed under the name uncultured bacterium. RNAcentral's name for it is "partial 16S ribosomal RNA". It matches the Rfam family "Bacterial small subunit ribosomal RNA", at positions 29 to 507 of the family's 1533-position model. The record is from RNAcentral.